GUCACUGGGCUUGACCAAGUUUAUCUACCUGUGUAUUCUUGAAUGCCUAUAGCAGUGUUGCGUGAACCAAAAUAUCAGGGCAAUCAUCCAUCAGGUUAUUGAAACUUUUCUAUGGUUCAAGGAGAAACCAGACAAGUGAAUGAAAAAGAAAUCCACAGAAGGUCGCUAAGUCUGCAAAAAUAACACCAAACACACACGUGAACUCCUUGCAAAGUUUAUCUUUUGAGGACAAAUCCACUGCAUGGUAACGGUGCUUGAGCUCACUGGAACAGCUUACAACCAACCAAGCAAAAGAAAUGAAGGCUGCAUAUCAAGGAGCUCAGCAAUAGCGAAAAAAAUGGUGUAAAAGAUAUGGAGUCCAGCAUAUCGUGAUUCAACAGAGAGACAGUUAUUAAAUCCUCUGCUUUCUGCUGCCUGCAGCGUUUUCAGCAUUUUGUAAGUAAAGCUAUUUGAAAAGCUGU
Numida meleagris (helmeted guineafowl) is the source of this 461-nucleotide long non-coding RNA. RefSeq lists it as uncharacterized. The record is from RefSeq and is a predicted model, not a curated record. The transcript has 4 exons. NCBI's taxonomy places the organism in Eukaryota, Metazoa, Chordata, Aves, Galliformes, Numididae.